RNAcentral lists this ribosomal RNA (330 nucleotides) under uncultured eukaryote. RNAcentral's name for it is "partial 18S ribosomal RNA". It matches the Rfam family "Eukaryotic small subunit ribosomal RNA", at positions 1470 to 1796 of the family's 1831-position model. The record is from RNAcentral.
CCCUUAGAUGUUCUGGGCCGCACGCGUGCUACACUGAUGCAUUCAACGAGUCUAAAACCUGGUCUGAUAGGGCUGGGUAAUCUUUUGAAAGUGCAUCGUGAUUGGGAUAGAUGAUUGCAAUUCUUCAUCUUCAACGAGGAAUGCCUAGUAAACGCAAGUCAUCAGCUUGCAUUGAUUACGUCCCUGCCCUUUGUACACACCGCCUGUCGCUCCUACCGAUUGAAUGAUCCGAUGAAUACCAUGGAUUGAGAGUACGAAUAGGUUCGCUUAUUUCUGCUGCUCGAGAAGUGGAGUAAAUCUUAUCAUUUAGAGGAAGGAGAAGUCGUAACA